CUAGGGAGGGGGUUAGCGUUGUUCGGAAUUACUGGGCGUAAAGCGCACGUAGGCGGACUGGAAAGUUGGGGGUGAAAUCCCGGGGCUCAACCCCGGAACUGCCUCCAAAACUUCCAAUCUAGAGAUCGAGAGAGGUGAGUGGAAUUCCAAGUGUAGAGGUGAAAUUCGUAGAUAUUUGGAGGAACACCAGUGGCGAAGGCGGCUCACUGGCUCGAUACUGACGCUGAGGUACGAAAGCGUGGGGAGCAAACAGGAUUAGAAACCCUAGUAGUCC
RNAcentral lists this ribosomal RNA (274 nucleotides) under uncultured bacterium. Its description in RNAcentral is "partial 16S ribosomal RNA". It matches the Rfam family "Bacterial small subunit ribosomal RNA", at positions 523 to 796 of the family's 1533-position model. The record is from RNAcentral.